Molecule: long non-coding RNA, 1846 nt
Filed under: Capra hircus (goat)
Lineage: Eukaryota; Metazoa; Chordata; Mammalia; Artiodactyla; Bovidae
Description: lncRNA (ENSCHIG00000003693.1)
Source: RNAcentral
UGGAGUUUCAGGCAAAUUACUAUUGUCUGGCAUGAAAAAUGGAUGAAAUCCUGGAUGACAGAUGAGAGCAGAAGCUUGAGAGGGACUGUAAACCAUCAAGAGCUUGAUAGCAGCUAAAGAUAAUUAAUUCUGUUAGAAACUAAUAAAUAAAGAUAGCAAUAUGUUGCAUUAUGCUUAGCAUGUCUGGUACCGCAAAACCGAGAAUCAGAGAAAAAAUGAAGUAUGAGUCAGCAGUCCUAGGUGGAAAAGUCACCCCAAAAGGUGACUCUGAAUUGCUUUUUUCAUGAAAUCAAGUGCUGCAUUAGACCUAAUCGCUGGCCUUCAGCUCACAACUAUGCGGUCAUCGCUGGCGGGGAAAGGUGGAUUAUCAGCUUUCAGUUGGUUAAGAGUCAGGCGGCACCCACACGGUGAAGUGGGUCAAUAUUUGGACAAUCGAUUUUCUCCCUCUCCCUCAGUCUUCAGAUGUUAAAGGGCCAGGAAGAGGGCAGAAGGCGACUGCAAGUGAAGGCCAACAGAAAAGAACAAGGGCACCAACGUGAGAUCAAAAGAAUCACCCGGGUUAUAUGAAGAAUGAGACCCCUGGACUCUGCCUCAGAACCAUGGAAUCAGAAUUUCCACGUUUUCCAGGUAUCCCAGUUAAGCCAUAGGAGCAGGAAAGUUUGGGAAACAGGAAAGUUAAAGGAAGACACAUCUGGGAGUUUUGCUGGUGCUUGAGUUGAGCUGAUGAGGAAGCCUCGGUUAAUGUGUUUAAGACCAAUGUUGUAACCUUGGCAGAAUCCUGUCAAGAGCCCAUAGGGCCACCAGGGUAUGUGGGAAGGAGGGGUGGGCAGCAGGGAGAGGAUGGCUUUGCAGGAAGGGGCUAAAAUAAUUCAAAGAAAUAGGGAGCUGCCAUGUUUAGUCACAAAGCCACCCUCUUAUUCAUGUAGGUGCCCAACACUCCGCUUUCAUUUCUUCUGGGUUUCUACGAAGUUGCACCCCGACUCCAGGGGUCAAACUACCCGCCUGGCUGAAUCCCCCAGGGAUGAAGGAGGCUGUUGGAAGGACGGCCCUCAAAGAUCCAAGGACAAGCAGCGCAGUGAAACCCUUGGCUUCCCUCUCUUCUCAUCACACAUGUCGGUCUCGUCUCUAGUGUGAUUCUGGGUCUGCAUCAUUCUGGGUCGAGGGUGCUGCACCAUACCACAGCCCACACAGAUGUAAACAUCACACUCCUCCAUAUCUGUACCUCUUUCUCCUCCUGCCCAUGAUAAGUCUUCCAUGGAUUCCAGAGCCAAAUCUCUACCAAAAUAUUAACCUGGGAAUCCAAGAGAGACAGCCCACAAUUCUCUACUGGGAUAAUAGCGACUUUACCUGUAUGCACUGGAAACGUUAAAAUGAGUUUCUUUGGUGUCUGUAACUAGUCUCUUUUCAAGACACAUUAUCUAAAAUCCACCACCUCUAAUCCUCCGGCUUCAGGGGAGCAUGUGAACAGAUGGCUUUACAAUGGGAAGAUCUGAGAGGUAAACAAGGAGGCCAGACCAAAAUACUUCUGGUUUUACUUUAAUACAAAGGCAAAUAAAAUUCCAUAGACUAAAGUUAAGUGGGGAAAGCACAAGCAGAUUCAAAGGAUUUUCCUCAAACCUUCCGUCCACAGUCUGUUCCCACCUGACUCCUUGUUGGCAGGAUUUUCCCUCACGACACGUCUCACACGUCUGCUCUUACGAAAGGAAAGGGGAAGACAAUACCCACCUAAUGUUUUUCCCUCUGAUGUAUUUUUUAAUUAAUAUUUUGUGAUUGUCUCGUUACAAGUGCAGUAUAUACUCACCAGAAAACACAGCAAAAAAAUAACAUUUCUGGACAUCAACAGUCC